Molecule: transfer RNA, 84 nt
Filed under: Candidatus Hinthialibacter antarcticus
Lineage: Bacteria; Candidatus Hinthialibacterota; Candidatus Hinthialibacteria; Candidatus Hinthialibacterales; Candidatus Hinthialibacteraceae
Description: tRNA-Leu
Rfam family: tRNA
About the family: Transfer RNA (tRNA) molecules are approximately 80 nucleotides in length. Their secondary structure includes four short double-helical elements and three loops (D, anti-codon, and T loops).
Source: RNAcentral
GCCGGAGUGGUGGAACUGGUAGACGCGCCAGAUUCAAAAUUUGGUAUCCUCCGGGAUGUGAGGGUUCGAUUCCCUCCUCCGGCA